This 233-nucleotide ribosomal RNA is filed under the name uncultured Lactobacillus sp. Its description in RNAcentral is "partial 16S ribosomal RNA". It matches the Rfam family "Bacterial small subunit ribosomal RNA", at positions 129 to 354 of the family's 1533-position model. The record is from RNAcentral. Lineage: Bacteria; Bacillati; Bacillota; Bacilli; Lactobacillales; Lactobacillaceae.
CCCAAGAGAUCGGAUAACACCUAGGAAACAGAUGAUAAUACCGGAUAACAACAGAUGAUGCCUAUCAACUGUUUAAAAGAUGGUUCUGCUAUCACUCUUGGAUGGACCUGCGGUGCAUUAGCUAGUUGGUAGGGUAACGGCCUACCAAGGCGAUGAUGCAUAGCCGAGUUGAGAGACUGAUCGGCCACAUUGGGACUGAGACACGGCCCAAACUCCUACGGGAGGCAGCAGGA